This 253-nucleotide ribosomal RNA is filed under the name uncultured bacterium. Its description in RNAcentral is "partial 16S ribosomal RNA". It matches the Rfam family "Bacterial small subunit ribosomal RNA", at positions 524 to 776 of the family's 1533-position model. The record is from RNAcentral.
UACGUAGGGUGCAAGCGUUGUCCGGAAUUAUUGGGCGUAAAGAGCUCGUAGGCGGUCUGUCGCGUCGGAUGUGAAAACCCAGGGCUCAACCCUGGGCCUGCAUUCGAUACGGGCAGACUAGAGUCCUGGAGAGGAAGGUGGAAUGCUUGGUGUAGAGGUGAAAUUCGUAGAUAUCAAGCGGAACACCGGUGGCGAAGGCGGCCUUCUGGACAGUGACUGACGCUGAGACGCGAAAGCGUGGGGAGCAAACAGG